This 301-nucleotide ribosomal RNA is filed under the name uncultured bacterium. RNAcentral describes it as "partial 16S ribosomal RNA". It matches the Rfam family "Bacterial small subunit ribosomal RNA", at positions 509 to 807 of the family's 1533-position model. The record is from RNAcentral.
CAGUCGCCGCGGUAAUACGGAGGGUGCGAGCGUUAAUCGGAAUUACUGGGCGUAAAGCGUACGCAGGCGGUUUGUUAAGUCAGAUGUGAAAUCCCCGAGCUUAACUCGGGAACUGCAUUUGAAACUGGCAGGCUAGAGUCUCGUAGAGGGGGGUAGAAUUCCAGGUGUAGCGGUGAAAUGCGUAGAGAUCUGGAGGAAUACCGGUGGCGAAGGCGGCCCCCUGGACAAAGACUGACGCUCAGGUGCGAAAGCGUGGGGAGCAAACAGGAUUAGAUACCCGUGUAGUCCCUGUCUCUUAUAC